Molecule: ribosomal RNA, 733 nt
Filed under: Klebsiella oxytoca
Lineage: Bacteria; Pseudomonadati; Pseudomonadota; Gammaproteobacteria; Enterobacterales; Enterobacteriaceae
Description: bacterial SSU rRNA
Rfam family: Bacterial small subunit ribosomal RNA
Source: RNAcentral
AACAGGAUUAGAUACCCUGGUAGUCCACGCUGUAAACGAUGUCGACUUGGAGGUUGUUCCCUUGAGGAGUGGCUUCCGGAGCUAACGCGUUAAGUCGACCGCCUGGGGAGUACGGCCGCAAGGUUAAAACUCAAAUGAAUUGACGGGGGCCCGCACAAGCGGUGGAGCAUGUGGUUUAAUUCGAUGCAACGCGAAGAACCUUACCUACUCUUGACAUCCAGAGAACUUAGCAGAGAUGCUUUGGUGCCUUCGGGAACUCUGAGACAGGUGCUGCAUGGCUGUCGUCAGCUCGUGUUGUGAAAUGUUGGGUUAAGUCCCGCAACGAGCGCAACCCUUAUCCUUUGUUGCCAGCGAUUCGGUCGGGAACUCAAAGGAGACUGCCAGUGAUAAACUGGAGGAAGGUGGGGAUGACGUCAAGUCAUCAUGGCCCUUACGAGUAGGGCUACACACGUGCUACAAUGGCAUAUACAAAGAGAAGCGACCUCGCGAGAGCAAGCGGACCUCAUAAAGUAUGUCGUAGUCCGGAUUGGAGUCUGCAACUCGACUCCAUGAAGUCGGAAUCGCUAGUAAUCGUGGAUCAGAAUGCCACGGUGAAUACGUUCCCGGGCCUUGUACACACCGCCCGUCACACCAUGGGAGUGGGUUGCAAAAGAAGUAGGUAGCUUAACCUUCGGGAGGGCGCUUACCACUUUGUGAUUCAUGACUGGGGUGAAGUCGUAACAAGGUAAGCCGU